CGUUAGGCAGGCAAUUCUGAUAACAGACGGACUAUCUUAAAGGUCAGUAAAUAUUAGUAAAGAUUUACUCAGAGUACUUGGUUAGGAAAUUGCUUGAGCUACCAUUGUCUUGACUAAACAAUUGGUGCAUAGCUCUGGCCCUUGCCAGGGCUCAAGGUUCACCAGCUUUCUGGGCUCCUUGUUUACACUUCUCUGAUAGUGAAGACAAUGGGUGGCUUCCCACAUCAAGACUUAACUUGUACAUGUGUUGCAUAUGCUCUACA
Molecule: long non-coding RNA, 263 nt
Organism: Pipistrellus kuhlii (Kuhl's pipistrelle)
Lineage: Eukaryota; Metazoa; Chordata; Mammalia; Chiroptera; Vespertilionidae
Exons: 3
Source: RefSeq, a predicted model, not a curated record